GAUGAACGCUGGCGGCGUGCCUAAUACAUGCAAGUAGAACGCUGAAGGAAGGAGCUUGCUCUUUCCGGAUGAGUUGCGAACGGGUGAGUAACGCGUAGGUAACCUGCCUGGUAGCGGGGGAUAACUAUUGGAAACGAUAGCUAAUACCGCAUAACAGUAGAUGUUGCAUGAUAUCUACUUAAAAGGUGCAAUUGCACCACUACCAGAUGGACCUGCGUUGUAUUAGCUAGUUGGUGAGGUAACGGCUCACCAAGGCGACGAUACAUAGCCGACCUGAGAGGGUGAUCGGCCACACUGGGACUGAGACACGGCCCAGACUCCUACGGGAGGCAGCAGUAGGGAAUCUUCGGCAAUGGACGGAAGUCUGACCGAGCAACGCCGCGUGAGGGAAGAAGGUUUUCGGAUCGUAAAGCUCUGUUGUAAGAGAAGAACGAGUGUGAGAGUGGAAAGUUCACACUGUGACGGUAUCUUACCAGAAAGGGACGGCUAACUACGUG
This 497-nucleotide ribosomal RNA is filed under the name uncultured bacterium. RNAcentral describes it as "partial 16S ribosomal RNA". It matches the Rfam family "Bacterial small subunit ribosomal RNA", at positions 28 to 507 of the family's 1533-position model. The record is from RNAcentral.